UUCAAUCCGUGUCUACCGUGCGCGUCGAGCGCCCCGCAAGGGGAGCGGCAGACGGGUGAGUAACGCGUGGGAAUCUACCCUUUUCUACUGAAGAACGCUGGGUAACUUGUGCUACUCCCGUAUGAGCCCUUCGGGGGAAAGAUUUAUCGGGAAAGGAUGAGCCCGCGUUGGAUUCGCUAGUUGGCGGGGUAAAGGCCUACCAAGGCGACGAUCCAUAGCUGGUCUGAGAGGAUGAUCAGCCACAUUGGGACUGAGACACGGUCCAAACUCAUACGGGAGGCAGCAGUGGGGAAUAUUGGACAAUGGGCGCAAGCCUGAUCCAGCCAUGCCGCGUGAGUGAUGAAGGCCCUAGGGUUGUAAAGCUCUUUCACCGGUGAAGAUAAUGACGGUAACCGGAGAAGAAGCCCCGGCUAACUUCGUGCCAGCAGCCGCGGUAAUACGAAGGGGGCUAGCGUUGUUCGGAAUUACUGGGCGUAAAGCGCACGUAGGCGGAUUGUUAAGUGAGGGGUGAAAUCCCAGGCUCAACCCUGGAACUGCCUUUCAUACUGGCAAUCUUAGGAAGGUUCCCCCAAAAAAAAAAAAAAAAAGGGGGAAAAAAAUGGGGGAAAAAAUUUUUUUCCCCCCCCCAAAGGGUUGGGUGUAUAAAAAAGGGGGGGGGGGAAAAAAAAAAAAAAAAUAAUAUAUUUUUCUUGUGGCAUAACAAAAAAAAAAAAAUUAAUUUUCUUUUUUUUUUGACGGGUGGGGGA
RNAcentral lists this ribosomal RNA (746 nucleotides) under Ensifer meliloti. RNAcentral's name for it is "Sinorhizobium meliloti partial 16S ribosomal RNA". It matches the Rfam family "Bacterial small subunit ribosomal RNA", at positions 47 to 719 of the family's 1533-position model. The record is from RNAcentral. Lineage: Bacteria; Pseudomonadati; Pseudomonadota; Alphaproteobacteria; Hyphomicrobiales; Rhizobiaceae.